This 332-nucleotide ribosomal RNA is filed under the name uncultured bacterium. RNAcentral describes it as "bacterial SSU rRNA". It matches the Rfam family "Bacterial small subunit ribosomal RNA", at positions 32 to 342 of the family's 1533-position model. The record is from RNAcentral.
AAUCAACGCUGGCGGCGUGCCUCAGACAUGCAAGUCGAACGCGAAAGUUCCCUUCGGGGAGUGAGUAGAGUGGCGCACGGGUGAGUAACACGUAGGUAAUCUACCUUUGGUAUGGGGAAGUAACAACCGGAAACGGUUAGCUAAUACCGCAUAAUGCAGCGGCACCUAAUGGUGACAGUUGUUAAAGCGGGGGAUCGAAAGACCUCGCGGUCUGAAGAGGAGCCUGCGGCGGAUUAGCUAGNGGUAAGGUAACGGCUUACCAAGCGACGAUCCGUAGCCGCCUGAGAGGGCGGUCGGCCACACUGACACUGACAUACGGGUCAGACUCCUAC